RNAcentral lists this transfer RNA (83 nucleotides) under Phycisphaerae bacterium. Its description in RNAcentral is "tRNA-Tyr". It matches the Rfam family "tRNA". Rfam says of the family: Transfer RNA (tRNA) molecules are approximately 80 nucleotides in length. Their secondary structure includes four short double-helical elements and three loops (D, anti-codon, and T loops). The record is from RNAcentral. RNAcentral also lists the same sequence under 1 other name. Lineage: Bacteria; Pseudomonadati; Planctomycetota; Phycisphaerae.
GGGAGUGUGCCCGAGCGGACAAAGGGAUCAGACUGUAAAUCUGACGGCGUACGCCUUCGCUGGUUCGAAUCCAGCCGCUCCCA